AAAGAGAUCCCAAACAGAUCCAUUUUCUAUUGCAACUAUAAUGGUAAAUAAAACAAAUGGGAACUCUUUGCUUGGCCAAUAUAAACGAUGGCAACCCAAAGCACAUUAUGAGCUUGAAUGCCAAUUCUGAUAGAGUUCUCUUCCAUUAUAAUGGACAUGGUGUGCCAAAACCAACUGCUAAUGGU
Non-coding RNA from Camellia sinensis, 185 nucleotides. The record is from RefSeq and is a predicted model, not a curated record. NCBI's taxonomy places the organism in Eukaryota, Viridiplantae, Streptophyta, Magnoliopsida, Ericales, Theaceae.